RNAcentral lists this ribosomal RNA (546 nucleotides) under uncultured archaeon. Its description in RNAcentral is "bacterial SSU rRNA". It matches the Rfam family "Archaeal small subunit ribosomal RNA", at positions 333 to 879 of the family's 1478-position model. The record is from RNAcentral.
CACCAGGCGCGAAAACUCUACAAUGCAGGCAACUGCGAUAGGGGGACAUCGAGUGGCAUCCACCUUGGGUGCCUGUCCAACCGUCUAAAAAACGGUUGUUAGCAAGGGCCGGGUAAGACCGGUGCCAGCCGCCGCGGUAAUACCGGCGGCUCGAGUGGUGGCCGAUAUUAUUGAGUCUAAAGGGUCCGUAGCCGGCUUUGCAAGUCCCCUGGGAAAUCCAGCGGCUUAACCGUUGGGCUUUCAUGGGAUACUACAUUGCUUGGGACUGGGAGAGGUAGGAGGUACUCGGGGGGUAGGGGUGAAAUCCUGUAAUCCUCCGGGGACCACCGGUGGCGAAGGCGUCCUACCAGAACAGGUCCGACGGUGAGGGACGAAAGCUAGGGGCACGAACCGGAUUAGAUACCCGGGUAGUCCUAGCCGUAAACGAUGCCCGCUAGGUGUCACGACGGUCGUGAAUCGUCGUGGUGCCGUAGGGAAGCCGCGAAGCGGGCCACUUGGGAAGUACGGCCGCAAGGCUGAAACUUAAAGGAAUUGGCGGGGGAGCAC